This 250-nucleotide long non-coding RNA is filed under the name Mytilus galloprovincialis (Mediterranean mussel). The record is from RNAcentral. Lineage: Eukaryota; Metazoa; Mollusca; Bivalvia; Mytilida; Mytilidae.
GUGAGCCAAUAAUUUCUUUUCAUAUUCGGAAAAUCCGGUUUGUAUGCCAUCUUUAUCACUAAUUAUUUCUGUGGCUCACGUUGGCGGAGGCCUUUAAAAAUGAAAGAUUGCAGUCCACAAAUGGCCAUUUUUCUAUCUUUUGACGUUAUCAACACAAUUUAGCCAACCCAAAAUCAGGUUUCUGCCAUACAAGAAGACAAAUUGGGCAUGUGGUAUUGAAGAACAAAUAUAUUAAGAUAUUUUAUGAUGC